CCUCAGAGUGCCAGCAGGUAGGAGUUUAAGAGCUGGCAUUAUCAGAAAUCAAACUUCCCGAAGUGAUAAGAGUACUGGAAAUGAACGAGCUGCCUGACCUUGUUAACUCAUCUGAAAAAGGAAAAAGAACAGCCUGUGUCCACUUGAUGAAGCACGGGGCAUUAAGGCAUGAGGCUUCAGGAGGGACUUAGGGAGCAGGAGCCUGGAGCAUGUCCCUGGCCCUGUCCUAUUGGCUCGUGUUCACAUCUGGCCACCAGAGUUGCAGAGGAACUCAUGUAAACCGAAUCCCUGGGACAACAAGAGGGAAGCCCGAGAGGGAAAGGUUGGGCCACACUGCCUGCCUGGCUCAGAGGUGCCCUGGAUGGCAGGCAGGUCAACAGAGGAUAUGCAGCAACGGAGUGAGGACCAAGAAACCGAGCUCCACAAGGAAAUCCCAGAAUGUUGAGAUUUGCACUUUGUCCCGCAUUCCCAGAAUACAGCUGGCUUCCUAGGGCUUUCUUUAUUUAACCAAGACGUUUUUAAGGAAAUAAACAAAAAAACAACCCACAAACACCUUGUUUAAAUGACCUGAUGUUUCCUUUGCCAAAGAUGGAAAAGAUGCAAGAAUUUCAGACGGCGGGACACAAACCUGACACUGCCAAAUCUCGGGAUGAUGAGAACGCUUUCUGAGUGGCCUUCAGUUGUCUGCUGUAAUAAACGAUGAAUUUCCCCAUUACAUUAAA
Meriones unguiculatus (Mongolian gerbil) is the source of this 722-nucleotide long non-coding RNA. RefSeq lists it as uncharacterized. The transcript is spliced from 2 exons. The record is from RefSeq and is a predicted model, not a curated record. Lineage: Eukaryota; Metazoa; Chordata; Mammalia; Rodentia; Muridae.